CCUAUUCUUUUUAUGUCUCGCCAAGCUCUCUCUAUAUUGUUUUAUUUUUAUUUUUCACUAAUAAUAAUAAUAAAGCCCUGUCCCAUAUUAAGUGUUUUAACUCCCGAUCACCGCUACCCUUUCCGAUUGAUCUAAGCCCCAUAACACAUGUCAGGGCUUUGCCCGACUAAGUUCAUUGGGGUUCUGUCUCGGGACUUCAGGACAAGGUUGAAUUAGGGGUACUAUACUUAAUACGAGUGCAUUAUAUAUAUAUAUAUAUAAAGUGGGUCCAUUCUCUUUUCUCACCAUGUUAUUCCUUCUUAUCCCAAACCAUAACAACUCUCACCAAAACUACUAUUUAUUAUUUUAUUUGCCCAAUAGGAAACCCUAAUUGAGACACCCAAGUAAUCCUGCACAACUCCUAAAAUUUUCAGAAUAAUCAGAAUCAGGAUCAGGGCCCCCAAAACUUAGGGGGGGGGGGUAUUCCCUACUUGACGAUUAUCCACAUAACUCGCUGUAGAAAUCAAAUUUAUAAAUUCCGUAGACUCAUACAAGCUAGUUGGACACGUGGCAAGCCUAUGAUGAAACGUGGCCCGUCGCGUCACGCGACGCCCCUAUGGGACCCCUCGCGUCACGCGAGGGGGUCAAAUUUCAGCUAUAAAUAGAAGGGGUUACGAGCAGCUCAAAAACACAGUAGCGAGGCGCUGCUACGAUACAGGGUAAUUACAGUAGAUUGGAGUAAGAGUUGGAUACGGCACCGAAAAGGCUUACAGAAGUGGCUUGAUUUAUCAAUUAAAUAAAAAUUAAGAAAAGUUGUUUUAUGUAUCAAGUUUAUAUUAAAAAGCUACCCUUGUAAAACAUGGAAUUUAUUCCAUCUAUUUAAAUAAAAUCCGGUGUUUCUAAA
Long non-coding RNA from Helianthus annuus (common sunflower), 883 nucleotides. RefSeq lists it as uncharacterized. NCBI's taxonomy places the organism in Eukaryota, Viridiplantae, Streptophyta, Magnoliopsida, Asterales, Asteraceae. The record is from RefSeq and is a predicted model, not a curated record. The transcript is spliced from 2 exons.